RNAcentral lists this ribosomal RNA (490 nucleotides) under uncultured bacterium. Its description in RNAcentral is "partial 16S ribosomal RNA". It matches the Rfam family "Bacterial small subunit ribosomal RNA", at positions 28 to 507 of the family's 1533-position model. The record is from RNAcentral.
GACGAACGCUGGCGGCAGGCCUAACACAUGCAAGUCGAACGGUAACAGGAAACAGCUUGCUGUUUCGCUGACGAGUGGCGGACGGGUGAGUAAUGUCUGGGAAACUGCCUGAUGGAGGGGGUUAACUACUGGAAACGGUAGCUAAUACCGCAUAACGUCGCAAGACCAAAGAGGGGGACCCUCGGGCCUCUUGCCAUCGGAUGUGCCCAGAUGGGAUUAGCUUGUUGGUGGGGUAACGGCUCACCAAGGCGACGAUCCCUAGCUGGUCUGAGAGGAUGACCAGCCACACUGGAACUGAGACACGGUCCAGACUCCUACGGGAGGCAGCAGUGGGGAAUAUUGCACAAUGGGCGCAAGCCUGAUGCAGCCAUGCCGCGUGUAUGAAGAAGGCCUUCGGGUUGUAAAGUACUUUCAGCGGGGAGGAAGGGAGUAAAGUUAAUACCUUUGCUCAUUGACGUUACCCGCAGAAGAAGCACCGGCUAACUCCGUG